UGCCAGCUGAAACCAUCUACUGCAUGGUCUCCAAAACUUUUUUUACCUACACCAAAAUAUGUGAAAAUAAAGCCCAGGUUUAAAAACUACUGAAAUUACCAUGUAAUUCAGUCAGCUAUGUCACAAUAUGCAGUAGAACAGAUGCUUGUAGGUGGUAAAAUUAUCAGGUUUAAGAGAAAUGUAGCAUUUUGGCCAUUUGAAACCCAUAAGAAACCUUGUCUAAACGAAAAAGAAACAAUCAGGUGGACAGUUGAUAGUAAGAUAGAGUCCAAGUAUGUAAAAAAAAAAAUAUUAAACUGCUGAUUGGCAUGGGGACAAGAGCUAGCAGAGGUAACUUACUAACUAACAGGUGUGUGAGGGGCUGGCAAUCAAAUAUGACAAUCUUUGUGCUGAGUUAAAAAACUGUUGUGGUCACUGGUCACGCUGAGAUCAACGUCAGUCUUUUAAAAAACAAAGUUUCUGAGCUAAGCAAGCAACAGCGCUAAUGCUAAACUAGCGCCUUUUCCACCGACUUUUGACUGGGGUAGCUCAUCAAGCUAGCUGACACUUGAUGACACGUCCCUGUGGAUAUCAACGGGACCAACGGGCGGAUCUCAACCGCUGCUGAUGAGCUGUUUCUCAGCAAACAGCCGUUUCCAGCGUCAAUGGACUGAAAUACUUAACUGCUGUGAUAGUCGCCACUCAGCAUCAUGAGGAAGCUUCUGCAGGGAGCCAUAACUGCCGCCAAAGGCCUUUAAAUCCUCCAUUUGAUGGCUUGAGGAUUCGGCAGGAGGAUUCGAAAAGGAUGAAGAGAAGAAAAUUGCACAUCCUUAAGAAAACAAAGAGCAUUUCCUUCCCUGUGUCAGGAUGAAAAAGGGAGAAGAGGGGGAAAAAAAGAGAAAUACAUACUAAUUCAUCAUUGGCUUUUACUGCUCCUUGAUGGUCCAUAACUCACUUUGACCAUGAUUCCCUUUCCCCUUCAUACUUUCGGAUUCACAAUCCACUACGCCAUGUUUUAAUGACCAUAUUAUAGGCAAUUCUACACUGUCCAAUAAAAGGUUUACACUUUGAA
Molecule: long non-coding RNA, 1051 nt
Organism: Micropterus dolomieu (smallmouth bass)
Lineage: Eukaryota; Metazoa; Chordata; Actinopteri; Centrarchiformes; Centrarchidae
Exons: 2
Source: RefSeq, a predicted model, not a curated record